RNAcentral lists this small RNA (2171 nucleotides) under uncultured marine bacterium. RNAcentral describes it as "bacterial SSU rRNA". The stretch from base 1 to 1490 matches the Rfam family "Bacterial small subunit ribosomal RNA". The record is from RNAcentral.
GACGAACGCUGGCGGCAUGCCUAACACAUGCAAGUCGAACGAGAAAGUUCCUUCGGGAGCGAUUAAAGUGGCGCACGGGUGAGUAACGCGUAGACAAUCUGCCCUUCAGUCUGGGACAACUUUUCGAAAGGAGAGCUAAUACCGGAUAACAAUGUUUAACCUAAGUUAAGCAUUUGAAAGCUUUAUGUGCUGAAGGAGGGGUCUGCGUCCCAUUAGCUAGUUGGUAAGGUAAAGGCUUACCAAGGCGACGAUGGGUAGCGGGUUUGAGAGGACGAUCCGCCACACUGGAACUGAGACACGGUCCAGACUCCUACGGGAGGCAGCAGUGGGGAAUAUUGCACAAUGGAGGCAACUCUGAUGCAGCAAUGUCGCGUGAGUGAAGAAGGCCCUUGGGUCGUAAAGCUCUUUUAUGGGGGAAGAUGAUGACGGUACCCCAAGAAUAAGCACCGGCUAACUAUGUGCCAGCAGCCGCGGUAAUACAUAGGGUGCGAGCGUUGUUCGGAAUUACUGGGCGUAAAGGGCGCGCAGGCGGAAUAGUAAGUCGGAGGUGAAAGCCCGGGGCUCAACCUCGGAGGGUCUUUCGAAACUGCUAAUCUAGAGAGGGUCAGGGGCCGGCAGAAUUCCUGGUGUAGAGGUGAAAUUCGUAGAUAUCAGGAGGAAUACCGGUGGCGAAAGCGGCCGGCUGGGACCACUCUGACGCUGAGGCGCGAAAGCGUGGGGAGCAAACAGGAUUAGAUACCCUGGUAGUCCACGCCGUAAACGAUGAGCACUGGACGUCCGGAGGGUUCGACCCUUCUGGGUGUUUCAGCUAACGCAUUAAGUGCUCCGCCUGGGGAGUACGGUCGCAAGACUAAAACUCAAAGGAAUUGACGGGGGCCCGCACAAGCGGUGGAACAUGUGGUUUAAUUCGAUGCAACGCGAAGAACCUUACCUGGUCUUGACAUCCUCGGACCACUUCAGAGAUGAAGUUUCCUCUUCGGAGGCCGAGUGACAGGUGCUGCAUGGCUGUCGUCAGCUCGUGUCGUGAGAUGUUGGGUUAAGUCCCGCAACGAGCGCAACCCCUACCCUUAAUUGCCAUCGGGUUAUGCCGGGCACUUUAGGGGGACUGCCGGUGACAAGCCGGAGGAGGGUGGGGAUGACGUCAAGUCCUCAUGGCCUUUAUGACCAGGGCUACACACGUGUUACAAUGGGAGUUACAGAGGGAAGCUAAGCCGUGAGGCCAUGCCAAUCCCAGAAAAACUUUCUCAGUUCGGAUCGCAGUCUGCAACUCGACUGCGUGAAGCUGGAAUCGCUAGUAAUCGCGGAUCAGCACGCCGCGGUGAAUACGUUCCCGGGCCUUGUACACACCGCCCGUCACACCAUGGGAGCCGACAAGGGCAGAAGUCGCCGAGCUAACCUUCGGGAAGCAGGCGCCCAAGCUGUUGUUGACGACUGGGGUGAAGUCGUAACAAGGUAGCCGUAGGAGAACCUGCGGCUGGAUCACCUCCUUUCUAAGGACGCCGGGGAUGCUUUAUGCUUAUCUCCGGAUAGUCAAGUCGAAACAGACUCUCUUCUCUUCUCUCCCUUUUCUCCUGUAAAUGCUAAGUUAUGAAUUUAGAGCAACUAAGAAAUUGAAUUCGUUACUGUGGACUCCUAAUUUCAAGAGGGGCCUGUAGCUCAGCUUGGUUAGAGCGCAUCCCUGAUAAGGAUGAGGCCGGUGGUUCAAGUCCACCCAGGCCCACCAGCUCAUUUUUGAUUUAGAUAUGGAUUUGGGUUUAGCGACUAUGAUGGUGGCAAAUCUGAGGUCUGGUAAUCCAAAUCAGAUAUUUAAAGAUCGGGGGAUUAGCUCAGCUGGUAGAGCGCCUGCUUUGCAAGCAGGAGGUCAGCGGUUCGACCCCGCUAUCCUCCACCAAAUUAAUGAACAGUAAAAAAAGGUGGUACAGCUUGAGCAGAAAAUAAGCUUCAGCAAUUUUAAUAGUUUCUGAAUUUUAUUUUCUAAUAUCUUAGACAAUUAAAUCGGAGGUUUUGGAGGCACAAGAUCAAAUGUGAGGGUCUCCAAGGUUGACAAUCUUGACUGUUAAAGUCAGGUAGUAAGGGCGCAGGCCGGAUCCUUGGCUCUGGGAAGCGAAGAAGGACGUGGCUAGCUGCGAUAAGCCUCGAGGAAGAGCAAACAUCUUUUGAUCCGGGGAUUU